GGAGGGUGCAAGCGUUAUCCGGAUUCACUGGGUUUAAAGGGUGCGUAGGUGGGCAGGUAAGUCAGUGGUGAAAUCUCCGGGCUUAACCCGGAAACUGCCAUUGAUACUAUCUGUCUUGAAUACCCUGGAGGUGAGCGGAAUAUGUCAUGUAGCGGUGAAAUGCUUAGAUAUGACAUAGAACACCCAUUGCGAAGGCAGCUCACUACGGGAAUAUUGACACUGAGGCACGAAAGCGUGGGGAUCAAACAGGAUUAGAUACCCUGGUAGUCCACGCCCUAAACUAUGGAUACUCGACAUCGGCGAUAAACUGUUGGUGUCUGAGCGAAAGCAUUAAGUAUCCCACCUGGGAAGUACGAUCGCAAGAUUGAA
Molecule: ribosomal RNA, 369 nt
Filed under: uncultured bacterium
Lineage: Bacteria
Description: bacterial SSU rRNA
Rfam family: Bacterial small subunit ribosomal RNA
Source: RNAcentral